Molecule: unclassified non-coding RNA, 329 nt
Filed under: soil metagenome
Description: partial contains 5.8S ribosomal RNA, internal transcribed spacer 2, and large subunit ribosomal RNA
Rfam family: 5.8S ribosomal RNA (bases 1-120)
Source: RNAcentral
GAUGAAGAACGUAGCGAAAUGCGAUAAGUAGUGUGAAUUGCAGAAUUCAGUGAAUCAUCGAAUCUUUGAACGCACAUUGCGCCCCUUGGUAUCCCGAGGGGCAUGCCUGUUCGAGCGUCAUUUCACCACUCAAGCCUGGCUUGGUGUUGGGCGACGUCCUCUUUGGGGACGCGCCUCAAAACGCUCGGCGGCGUGGCACCGGCUUUAAGCGUAGCAGAAUCUUUCGCUUUGGAAGUCGGGGCCCCGUCUGCCGGAAGACCUGCUCGCAAGGUUGACCUCGGAUCAGGCAGGGAUACCCGCUGAACUUAAGCAUAUCAAUAAGCGGAGGA